This is a long non-coding RNA of Nicotiana tabacum (common tobacco), 1300 nucleotides long. RefSeq lists it as uncharacterized. Lineage: Eukaryota; Viridiplantae; Streptophyta; Magnoliopsida; Solanales; Solanaceae. The record is from RefSeq and is a predicted model, not a curated record.
UAAUAUUUCCUUUAAUUGUACUUUAUUAUGUUUUAUUAGGAUUAAAUAAGUUUAAUUAAUUUAAUUAUGAAAAAGGGGUUAAGAUUAAAAACAGGAUACAUUUGCAAUUAGUGAGUUUAGAUUAAAGUGGCUAUGGGGUUUAAUUUCAGCCUAUUCUUACAGAACCCAACAAAUUUUGUCCAAAAUUGGCAAAAAAAAGCACUCCAAAGUCUCUCACAAAACUAAAACAAUGCACAGGGAUCGUUGAUCAAACUUAUCAAUGGUCCACAUUAAUCACGCUUUUCCCUUUAGUUUUAAUCUCUUGAUCCAACGGUCCCGUUUAAUCCCCAAAUUGUUUUCUUUUUAUUCUUUAAACUAAAAAUAAAUAUGAGCCAUUGAUCUAAUUGAUCCAACGGCCCAAGAUCACUCCUCCAUUUUAAACAUACCAAACCCCCAAACCAUAUGUCAUUCCCUCACUGCGCCAACCGCCCCAUUUCCCUUUUCCUCUCUCACUCUCGUCGUCCUUUCCUCUCUGCAAUCUCUGAGACGUGGCACAAAUUGAUGCAAAGUCUAAGAGACAACUGUGAAACCAUUAUCGUUACCCCUUCCCCCCAGCCGCGAAUCUAGCCGAAAAUGCCUAUUUCCAUCAUCCCCUUCCAAAUCCCCAAAUUCCAAAACCCUAGCCUCUAAUGUGAAAGGCCCCAAAUCUCAUCAUCACACCCACCUCUGUUCAAAAUUGCCAUUAAAACAUGGCAUGCAAUUUCAGAUUCAUGGGAAUCUCAACCUCACGGUGAAUUAUGAUGACCCAGAGGCCAAACGAAAGGACCUCUGGGUAAAAGCUUUGUCCGGAGGUCACUAAGCUUCAACGACUAGUCUGUUCUGAUAGGACAUUGCACGGACCUUCUGUGAUGUAAGAAGUUUUAUUGUGGUUGCUGCUUGGGCCUCCUUGGUCAGGUUGCUUGUGUAAAGACUUUAAGUCAAGAUUUAUGUGUCAAAUCGCUAUGCAAGAGCAAGGUUAAGUUGUUAAUGGCUUCUAUUAUGAGCUUGACUUCACUAUCAAGGGACCACCUCACUAGCACAAGCACUACUCUGGGUCUUAGAGACCUCUGUGACUCUGAAGUGCCAGGGGUUCAUAAGGAGACUUUGUAGGUGAAUAUGGUUUAUUCUAGCCAAUGAUCCUUGGCCUUGACUAAUCCUUAGAGGGGUGUAACAAAUAAAUGUUUGUUUAGCUUUGUCCUUUGGAUCAUGUUCAUAUUCAUCUUUUAUGAUUCUGUAUUAUGUCUCAUAUGCAAGUGCUAAUGAAAUCUUUUUUUUGCAUGAA